GUCCAGACUCCUACGGGAGGCAGCAGUGGGGGAUAUUGCACAAUGGGGGGAACCCUGAUGCAGCGACGCCGCGUGGGUGAAGGAGCGUUUCGGCGCGUAAAGCCCUAUCGGCAGGGAAGAAGGAGGACGGUACCUGACUAAGAAGCCCCGGCUAACUACGUGCCAGCAGCCGCGGGAAUACGUAGGGGGCAAGCGUUAUCCGGAUUCACUGGGUGUAAAGGGAGCGUAGACGGCGGCGCAAGUCUGGAGUGAAAGCCCGGGGCCCAACCCCGGGACUGCUCUGGAAACUGCGGCGCUGGAGUACGGGAGGGGCAGGCGGAAUUCCUGGUGUAGCGGUGAAAUGCGUAGAUAUUAGGAGGAACACCAGUGGCGAAGGCGGCCUGCUGGACGAUGACUGACGUUGAGGCUCGAAAGCGUGGGGAGCAAACAGGAUUAGAUACCCCCGUA
This 447-nucleotide ribosomal RNA is filed under the name uncultured bacterium. Its description in RNAcentral is "partial 16S ribosomal RNA". It matches the Rfam family "Bacterial small subunit ribosomal RNA", at positions 329 to 792 of the family's 1533-position model. The record is from RNAcentral.